AACCUUGUUCAGCAAGAGAAUGCAGAAUUACAGAAUAAGAGCAUUCCCCUACUAAAUACAUGACGAGCAGGUGCGUUUAAUGAGUUAAAGGAGUGUGGAAUUUUUUCAUAAGCUGCAGCGAGUUGUCGACAUAUUGGUUAUCAUAGACGAAGAGGCUAAAGAGUUUUUACUUCUAUGCGAAGCAACUUCCUAGUUCUGGUGCAUGCAUUCUAAGAUGUUGUUUUGAUACUGCACUUUAGAUAGUAUUGAUUUGUGGGCUGCUUUGUAAAUUUUAGAAUGCUAUUGACAUUUGACUUUAGUUGUUUUGAGGUAUUGAAAUAGAGUUAUGAUGGAUGAAUGUUGGUAUUUUUGAAAUUAUAAUAUUUGUUUUACUUGUGUUGUUAUUUUUGUUUGUGGAGAAA
Non-coding RNA from Erythranthe guttata (spotted monkey flower), 401 nucleotides. The record is from RefSeq and is a predicted model, not a curated record. NCBI's taxonomy places the organism in Eukaryota, Viridiplantae, Streptophyta, Magnoliopsida, Lamiales, Phrymaceae.